GCGCACCUUGCUUCCUCGGAGUCGUGGAGCAAGCGCUUGAGCGGUUGAUUGCGGGCUAGCCAUGGCGCUUCACGUCCCCAAGGCCCCGGGCUUUGACCAGAUGCUCAAAGAUGGAGCAAAACAUUUCUCGGGAUUAGAAGAAGCUGUGUAUAGAAAUAUACAGGCCUGCAAAGAGCUUGCGCAGACUACUCGUACAGCAUAUGGACCAAAUGGAAUGAAUAAAAUGGUCAUCAAACGCCUGGAGAAGUUGUUUGUGACAAACGAUGCAGCGACUAUUUUAAGAGAGCUAGAAGUGCAGCAUCCUGCUGCAGAGAUGAUUGUGACGGCUUCUCAUAUGCAAGAACAAGAGGUUGGUGAUGGCACAAACUUUGUUCUGGUAUUCGCUGGGGCUCUUUUGGAACUAGCUGAAGAACUUCUGAGGAUUGGCCUGUCAGUAUCAGAGGUAAUAUCAGGAUAUGAAAUAGCUUGCAAAAAAGCUCAUGAGAUUCUUCCUGAUCUGGUAUGUUGUUCUGCAAAAAACCUUCGAGAUGUUGAUGAAGUGUCAUCUGUGCUUCGAAUCUCCAUAAUGAGUAAGCAGUACGGCAGUGAGACAUUUCUGGCCAAGCUUAUUGCUCAAGCAUGUGUAUCUAUUUUUCCUGAUUCUGGCAAUUUCAAUGUUGAUAGCAUCAGAGGAUGUAAGAUUCUGGGCUCUGGUGUUUAUUCGUCCUCAGUAUUACAUGGCAUGUUUUUUAAGAAGGAAACUGAAGGUGAUGUGACAUCUGUCAAAGAUGCGAAAAUAGCUGUGUACUCUUGUCCAUUUGAUGGAAUGAUAACAGAGACAAAGGGAACAGUGCUGAUUAAGACUGCUGAAGAACUGAUGAACUUUAGUAAGGGAGAAGAAAAUCUUAUGGAUGCACAAGUGAAAGCUAUUGCAGGCACUGGUGCUAAUGUGGUAGUAACAGGUGGCAAAGUGGCAGACAUGGCUCUUCAUUAUGCUAACAAGUACAAUAUCAUGUUGGUGAGACUUAACUCAAAGUGGGAUCUCAGACGACUGUGUAAAACAGUUGCUGCCACAGCUCUUCCAAAACUGACUCCUCCUGUCCUGGAAGAAAUGGGACAUUGUGACAGUGUUUACCUCUCAGAAGUUGGAGAUACACAGGUGGUUGUUUUUAAGCAUGAAAAAGAAGAUGGUGCCAUUUCUACUAUAGUUCUUCGAGGUUCUACAGACAAUCUGAUGGAUGAUAUAGAAAGGGCAGUAGAUGAUGGAGUUAAUAUUUUCAAAGUUCUCACAAGGGAUAAGCAUCUUGUACCUGGAGGUGGAGCUACAGAAAUUGAAUUGGCCAAACAAAUCACAUCAUAUGGAGAAACAUGUCCUGGACUUGAACAGUAUGGUAUUAAGAAGUUUGCUGAAGCAUUUGAAGCUAUUCCAUGGGCACUGGCAGAAAAUUCUGGCGUGAAGGCCAAUGAAGGUAUUGCUAAACUUUACUCAGUACAUCAAGAAGGAAACAAAAAUGUGGGGCUGGAUAUUGAGGCCGAAGUCCCCGCUGUAAAGGAUAUGUUAGAAGCCAGUAUUUUAGAUACUUACUUGGGAAAAUACUGGGCUGUUAAACUGGCCACUAAUGCUUCAGUCACUGUACUUAGAGUGGAUCAGAUCACCACGGCAAAACCAGCUGGUGGGCUCAAACCUCCAAGUGGGAAGAAAGACUGGGAUGAUGACCAGAAUGACUGAGGAGCUUGUUAUAGGUGAAGAGUUGUGUUGUAGACUAGGACUUGCCUAAUGUUUUCUUAUUUUUCUUAAGGUAUUUGUGAUUGUACUCUGCUGAGAGGUACAAUAAAUGUGUUACUGUUAAAAAAAAAAGUG
Molecule: RNA transcript, 1840 nt
Organism: Grammomys surdaster
Lineage: Eukaryota; Metazoa; Chordata; Mammalia; Rodentia; Muridae
Gene name: T-complex protein 1 subunit theta pseudogene
Exons: 1
Source: RefSeq, a predicted model, not a curated record